GCCUGGAUAGCUCAGUUGGCAGAGCGCAUUCUUGGUAAGAAUGAGGUCUCGGGUUCGAUUCCCGAUCCAGGCU
Molecule: transfer RNA, 73 nt
Filed under: Microgenomates group bacterium RIFCSPLOWO2_01_FULL_47_10
Lineage: Bacteria
Also listed under: 2 other names
Description: tRNA-Thr
Rfam family: tRNA
About the family: Transfer RNA (tRNA) molecules are approximately 80 nucleotides in length. Their secondary structure includes four short double-helical elements and three loops (D, anti-codon, and T loops).
Source: RNAcentral